This 444-nucleotide long non-coding RNA is filed under the name Anser brachyrhynchus (Pink-footed goose). Its description in RNAcentral is "lncRNA (ENSABRG00000018064.1)". The record is from RNAcentral. Lineage: Eukaryota; Metazoa; Chordata; Aves; Anseriformes; Anatidae.
AGUGAACAACAUUUUCGCUAACCUGGGGAAUGAGACCUGGUAAUGAAGGAUACUAAAUGCGUACAACUACUGUAGAGCAGAUAAAAUGAGCCUGAGAACUGCUAAGGAAAUUGAAAGUCUGACUAUUGUGAAAGUAAAGGAAAAAGCAAGUCACAGAUAUUUGAUGCAAAGAUCUUACAUCUGUAAUGCAAUAUGUUUGGGGAGUGGAGCAAGAGGAUUACUUACAAGGUAGUCAGGCAAAGUGUGGUGACCUGAUUUAUUACCACAAAAAAAAAAAAAAAAAACUGCUCUCCUAGAUCCUUUACAGCACUUCUUUUGUUAAUAUGGGAUUUCUCCAAGUCAGUUCAAUGCAAUUCAUAACAGUUUAAUUGUUUUGGUAAAGAACUAAUCCUGGGUAAGGAAAGAAAAAAUAAAAAAAAGAAAAAGAAAAAAAUGAAAAAAUGC